RNAcentral lists this long non-coding RNA (7710 nucleotides) under Triticum aestivum (bread wheat). Its description in RNAcentral is "long non-coding RNA (TAES_LNC018243)". Lineage: Eukaryota; Viridiplantae; Streptophyta; Magnoliopsida; Poales; Poaceae. The record is from RNAcentral.
UGGGUUCCGGUGGGAACUAGUUCUGGACGGCGAAGCCCUGCCGGAUAGAUGACACCGUAUGUGUGCAACUCUGUAGAGAGAUCAUAGUUUCGGUCUUAGUUCGAGAGUGCCUCCCGAAGGGCUGUCCGUGUGACCGUCCGAGUUUCAAAUGUCCUCCCGAAGGGCUGUCCGAGUGACCGUCCGAGUUUCGAAGGUCCUCCCGAAGGGCUGUCCGCGACACCGUCCGGGGGACUGUCCAACCACCUCCCGAAGGGCUGUUCGAGGGGCAGAUGAGGGUAUACAUCCUAGCGGUUGGGAUUUUGUAAAUCCUAACUGCGGGGAUCUGCACCGCCGAUCGUCAUCGACUCUACUUCCUGCUGCGCUAUGAGUCGGUAACGAAAAAGAUCAAACCUUGUAUGCAGUCUCCAUAGUGGUCCUGGGCUGGUGCGUAAGUCAGAUUUUUUUUGUUUUCUGCUAUGUUACCCUACAGUGGCAUCAUGAGCCGUGCUAUGCGUAGAUGCAGGUUGCGAUCUAGAAUACAUAGAGAUGUAUGGGUGUUGCACAAUAUAAUUAGGUAAUAGAUGAGUUCUAUUACUAAAAAUUAUUUGUGCGGGUAGCAGAUGAAAUCUCUUUCCCAAUGUUCUUGUUGCUUCCCUUGAAUUUGCAUAAUCCUGAUCUUGACGGCGUGGUGGAAUCUCACAAAGUUCUGGCAAUCCGCGAUCCUUUCAUGCUGCUCCUGAGUAUGCUGAUUGACAGAUCAACGAAGUGCUAACAGUUCUUUGGGUUCCACCAUAGUUAAAGAAAGAUGGAUGUUUCACAAACAAAAGGGCAAUGCAGAUAUGAUCUGCACAGGGGUCAUGCAUAUGACGAAGUUUAGUAUGGGGUUCGAGAUUUUAUUUUCUCGUGCUUCAUACACCCCGCAAAGUUAAUCUAGCGACUUGAAUUAUCAUACUUGAUGAUGGACAUUGGUAGCUUCGGUUUGUUUCGAAACCUUAGAAGCCACGAAAAACAAGUUUUUGCAUGAACCGAUUAGGGGAGUCUAACUUGGUUUUGCAGGAGGUUUUGUAUGUGCAUGUGAUGUGGUAUAGCAGUGCUCAUAAUAAUUUGAUUAUGUAUGAGAUGACUAUAUGAUGUAAAUUGAUUAACAUGACCUGCGUGUCAUGAUUCGGCAUGAUGGCUGGAGCCAUAUGAUUGUCACUUUAAUGACCUGCGUGUCAACCUUAAGUAUUGCACUUAUUUUAUUAGCUAUAGAGAUAGCAAUAUUAUCCGGUGCAUCGACAAGGUGGUGGCAAUCUUCGCGAAGGUGAACACCGACGCGAAUGCGGAAGAUGAAGAAAUACAAGACUUCUCCGUCAGAAAGGGUUAUACCAUAUCAUGCUAUUGUGAAUUGCCUGAGAUGUUUAUCCCUUUGGUGCACCCUUCUUGAUUGCAUGGUAGUCGCUUUUUAUUAGGGUGAUCUCUCACAAAAAUAUCAAAGUAGUUAGUGUCCUCCCAAGUGUAGCACCGUCACGGCACCUAUCUUUUCGGGGUGCGCCGUGUCACACGGGUACGAAUGGUUAGAGAAGUGUGAGGCGGAUGAGUUGAGACCUCACAACGAGAUCACUUGGUUGUCUUGACGUUCAGGCAUGACCGUCAUGAGCUCGGAACACGCCCAUCGAAAGAUGAACAAGAGUCGCAUAGAGAUGUGAUUGGCAGGUUGGCCUACCGGUUGAGAUUUUCGUCAUCAGUGGUGUUACACCAAUGGCGAACAAUUGAUAUGCGGAUCUUGAAUCACUCACAAUCAAUUAUGAGAGAUAUUGAUUUGAGUGGGAGCGCAUUGUUGAAUUAACACGUUUAAUUCUCAGUGCAAUUAAUUAUGAACAUUGUCUAAGUGUUUCUUGCAAAAUAGUUGUAGAAUAAUGGCUCACGUUUCCACCUUCCCUGUUAAAAUUGAAUAGCUGUUAAAUAUCUGGUUAAAACUUUAUGAUUGGUAACGUAAUGUGAGGAUUGUCCUCAAGAGUGCCGAGAAGGACUUCGUCCUAUCGCAUGCUUUCCGUAUACUCCCGCUAAAUGCUCUGGAUGAUGAGACUCUCGUCCUUUGAUCCAAAAGCUAGAAUUCCAUUGCGGUCAAGUGCAAUAUGUUUGCUUCCAUGAAACUCGAACUUCGAAAGUUUGGGAUAGUUAUGUGAUAUUCAUGGAGCUGAAAAUUAAUUUUCAGAUACAAACAGAGGCUGAAAGAUAUGAAAUAUCCAAAGCAAUGUUUGUUUGCAAAUUAUUAGUAAAGUGUUUACUAUGCAUUAGACUGAUAACAGAGGGAUCCAGGAGAACGCUUGUCAUAUGAUGAAAGGUGAAUAAAACAACAACUUAAGGAGAAAGGAAGUGUCCAAAGGGUGUUAGUAUGACUUACACGCCUAGGAAGUCCCGGGCUAACGCCACUCUUAAGUUGGGUGCUUCUUUUGCGAGUAGGAGAAAUACUAAAAGUUAAACUGUUAGAAGUAUAAAGGCAAAAGGAGCGAAGACUGGAAUAUCCAGCUCAUAUGUAUGAAUGUCAUACGAGUUAUUGAUGUAUAGAAGGCUAGUCAGAAGAAAUAGUUCUUGGGAAUUAUGAUUAAACUUGUUAAUCACUAAUUCUUGGGUAUUGUGAGUUGAUCACAAAGAUACCCGCUCGAUUGCAUUCUGUCGCGAAUCCAUGCAAGAACUACUAUCGCCUGAAAGACUAGCCAUGAAUGAGGUUUCGAUACGCGAUGAGAUCAUAGUAAAAGUUACUAUACCUUCCAUCGAUGUAUUCCCUAUGUAUUUAUUUUCAUAAUUCAUUAUAGAGUUUUACACACUCUAGCCCCUUGUGUAAGGUAUCUUGCAAAAAGGUUGUUCAUAAGAGAACUUUUGAUGUUCAGUAUUAUGAAUAAACAUAAGGGCCAUACUUUCAUUAUGAAUGAGAUGUAUGUUAUGAAUAAUGAUAUUAAUAUAUUACCUCUGUGUUUACUUUCAUAAUUCAUUUUAGAGUUUCAUACACUCUAGCCCAUUGCACAAUGUUUUUUGCAAAAGGGUUGUUCAUAAAAGAACAAUUGUUGUUCAGUAUUAUGAAUAACAUGAAGGGCCAUGCUUCCAUCCAAGAUGGGAUGUAUGUUAUGAAUAUUGAUGGUAAAAUGAUACAUCCAUAACACUGACGCUAAAUGUCGCAAGACAAUGAGAAUACCACACAUGUGUGGCACUGCAUUUGGUCACAUUGGAGAAACCUGCACAGAAAAAUUCCAUUAUGAUGGAUUUUGAAGUCGUUUGAUUUUGAAUCAUAUGACACUUGCAACUUUCCUCCAAAAACUGAAGUGACUGAAAUACCGUUCACAGGCUAUAAGGAACGAGCAACAAACUUAUUGGUGAUCAUACAUUUUGAUGUGUGUAGUUCAAUAAAUGUUGUUGCAAGUAGUGGAUUUAUCUAUCUUCAGAAAUGAAUCAAGUAGAUAUAUGAUAUUUGCUUGAUGAGACGUAAGUCUGGAUCUUUUGAAAUCAAUCGAAAGGUUUUUCAAAAAUGAAGUAGAAGUUAUUGUAACAAGAAAAUUAUGUUUCUGCAAUUUGAUUGCAGAAAGGAAUAUUUGAGUUACAAGUUUAGCGAAUGUCUGAUGAGUUGUGAAAAGAGUUUCAUAACUUACACCUCCCGGAACACCACUAUGAGUGGAAUGACUGUGAAGAUGUAAUCAAACCAUUUAUGACAUGGUAAGAUCAAAGAUGACAUAAAUAAAUUUGCCAUUAUCACUUUUAAAGAGUAAUGCUUUAGAGACUGCGGCUUUUACACUGAAAAGAGCUCCAUCAGGUCUGUUGAAAUGACAACAUGGUAUGGUACGCCCAACCAUGUUAUAUAUGUUCUUAACAUUUGGAAUACGGGGCUUGUGUAAAAGGUUACAAACCUAUUCCAAAUCAGACAAGUGCUACUUUGUAAGUUAUCCCAAGUCAUUGGGUAUUCCCCCACCACUAUACCGAGGCAAAGGAUUUUUGCCACAAAACGGUAUGCUUUGAAAGAGAAUAGUUCUUGCAAAAGUUAAGUGGGAGGACAAUGCAACUCGACGAGAUAACAAGUAUCUUCGUCAUCAGGUCAAAGGAAAGGAACCUUGGAAGUGAUUCCAGAGUUUCCUACUGCGACUGAUACGGAAGCCUCUACAUGAGAUGUAUGGACUUCGGUCGAACUUGCAGCUGAACAACGUAGGCAAAGCUCGUGCAAACCUCUCAGGUGCGCAAACGAGACAUCGUUGUUAGACAACAAUAUACCUAUAAUACACAAGGAAGCGUUGAUGGGCCCUGACUCCGGAAUUGGCUAAAUGCCAAUAUAAUCCGAGAUAGUUUCCAUAAAUGAUUCAAGAUUUAAAUCUUGAUAAACCCUCUGAAAGACUUGGAGUCUAACGGAUUGUAAUGGGACUAUAAACUGAUACGGAUAAAAAUGUUUUAUCCAUUAAGCUCGAAUUGUUGCAAUAACAAGUUCAAGGAGUUGACUACAAUGAGAUUGUCUCACCGUAGCAAUGCUUAAAGUCGGUUCGGGUUAAACUAGCAAUUAAUACAUAUUUCAAAACGUGAGAUAUGAAACAUGGAUGACAAAAAGAAUUUCCAUGAAAUUGAAAUACAACCUAGGACUUGUAUGUGAUACAAUCCAAAGUAUUUUGUCGGUCCAGAGGAUGCUAGUAAGUAUGCUAGCUUCAGAGUUCCAGCAAUGGACAGAAUAGAGCAAAAUGGAGUUGGAAUCUUCGUUUUUGAUGGAUAGUCAAAGGGGUUUGACUUCAUCAAUGGGUAACGAAGAUGCUUGUGGAUUCAAGAAAGUAAGUGGGAGCAUAACAAUAUUUCUGAAAACCUUGUGUGCUUGACACAUUGUUAAUUGGAAAUAAAUUUCUUGACACGAAUUAGGACUUCAUUUGAAAAUAGUUUUUCGAUGAAGUGCUUGGGAUAAAUAGCCUUGAUAUUAGGCAUAAUGAUCUAUGGAGAUAGAUUUACCUAAUAGGGCUGAGCAAAAAUACAUAUUGACAAGAUGCUAAAACCGUUUAGCACUAAGAACGACAAGGAGUGAUUCUUACCGAAGUCGCAUGGAAAGAGUUUUUGCAAGAAUCAGUCUCCCAAAACACAGAUGAGCAAAAUACAUGAUGGAGAAUCCACACACUCCUGUGUUUGGAUUAAUCAUGUAUUCCAUGGAAUGUAAAACAACCAGAUAUGUCCAAUACUCCCAAGCUGUUGCGAGUAUAGAUACCAAAGUGAUCAAAAGUACUGAUCAUGGGAAAACAGUGAAAAAUGAUCAUUGAGUACUAAAGUAGCACUAAUGACAUGUUUUCUCGCAAGUGGAGAUCAUGAAAAGUUCGUUGUAAAAGGUUACAUCGAUACAAUCUUCAUCAUUUCUUCAUGCAAUUUUCGAUUUAAAUUGAGGGUUUUGUGUAACACACAAUAUGGUGGUGCAGUUAGUUGGAAAUUGUUCCAGACAAGUUACUGUGGCGAAUUCUAUAAUAGAGGCGAAGUAUGUUGCCGCUUUAGAAGCGACAAAGACAAAUAUGUUGAAUCAUAUAGUUCAUUCAUGAACUUAGUAUGGUUCCAAGAAGGCUUUGGUCAAUGGGACACUAUUGCAGAUAGUUGCUCCAUAACUCAGUCUGAGGAAUCAGGUUUCGACCAAUGAUUCACAUAUAUACAAAGCCAAGUCCACACAAAAUAUGAAUUUUCUGAAAGCGUGAAAACGCGAGGAUAUGCAGAGAUACACACGGAGCUGAAAUUGUCAGAUCCGAUGGACAUCAGGCUAUACCACAUGCGAAGCAUUUUUUACACCGUUAUGCCAUAGGUGUAAUGUGCAUUAGCAUUAACUAGAUUAUUGACUCUAGUGCAAGUGGGAGUCUGUAGGAGAUAUGCCCUAGAGGCAAUAAUAAAUGAUAUUAUUUAUCUCCAAGUUCAUGAUUAUGUUUAUGUUCCAUGCUAUAACUGUUGUGGUUCCCGAGCCCGUAUAUCCAUAAAGGCUCUGGGAAAACCCAUGUGCACGUGUGGAAUAAUAAACGAUAAAAUGUAUUCCUAGUCAUGCCUCUAAGACUAGCUCAAGUAUUGCAUGAUGAUUAUGUUUUCCCAAUCAUGGGCAUGUCUAUGCCAGCAACUUUGACGACACAAUGUUAGAAGAACAUUUGUGUUGAAUCGACCCGAAUUGAUGUUAUGCUAUGAGAUACAUUCGUCACAAGUUUAUGGUUAAUAACACAGAGAUGGUUAAUGUUUGCAUAAUUCCUUAGACCAUGAGAGUAUCAAGUUUCUUCAUACUCACUUCAUGAACUUUGGGGUUUGUUAAACGUCACCGUAAAUGGGUGGCUAUUACGGGGGCUUACGGGUUCAUGGAAAAGUGUGUCAAGUAACUUUAUAGCUCAAGAUUGGGAUUUGCUCUUCCGACGAUGGAGAGAUAUUCUCGGGCCUCCCGGUAUUAUGGUAUCCAUCAUCGUCUGGCCAGACACAGUGUGAUUUGCUCACUGGGAUGCCGGAACACGGAAACGAGAAAAGAGAAUGAAACUGGUAACAAGGUAACUUGCAUGGUGGACAAAUGGUUCAUCCACGGGGAUGCAAUAAGUCUCACCUCGGGUGUUUGUGACAUAUCGUGAAGCAACAGGAAUAGCUCACUGCAACUGGAGGUUCACUCGAAUAUUUAUUCGUGUGGGUAUAGGGGUCAAUAUGGGUGUCCACAGCUUCGAUGUUGAUCAUUGAUCGGAAGGGGUUCCGGGUCAUGUCUAUACUUCACCGAACCUAUAUGGUCACACGCUUAAGGGUCAUCUAUCUGCUGAAUACUAGACAAGGAGUCUGAGAGAAAAACAUCGAAGAAGUUUCGGACACCGGAAAGGUUUCGGACAGCGGAAAAGUUCUGCAGAGAGAGGUCAUCGAAUGAGUUUCGGUGUAACCGAAAAGUUUUUUCAGGAUAUACUAUUAAGUCAAAUUGGUUUCGGCACAUGCCUGAUAAUUCUUGGAGGGUGCCAGAUUCAUUCUGGAAACUUUCUGGAAUUUUCCGGGAUAAAAGCUGGAUAUGCUCCGGAGCUGCCGGAACCACUUCAGAUGCUUUUCGCAGAUGAAAAUCACUAAUCCGCAAUUGUUUCAGAAUGUGUUGAAAAUUAUUUUAGUGGGUACUAGAAAUGUUCUAAGCCCACAUAAAUAUUUUCAGUUCGAACGGACACUGAAAAAUGUCUCGUGAAUAGUGAAAGUGUUUCUUGGGAUAUUUAUGGAAAGCCAGCUUUUGGGGCUUUUCCCAAAAGGCUUCUAGAAGGACUUGGGGAUCAAGGAACCCCCUUUGGGGGGCCCCCAUGAAGGUGGGACGUUGGAGGGUGCAGCUCCUCCAUGGGGCUCCACUUGUCAUCACUUUAUGCCCUUUAUGUGUGACAUAAAGUGUGGGCAUUUUGGGUUUUUCAUGUGUCCCCUACCCCUUGUGUUUUCCUAUAAAUAGAGGUGGAGAGGCACUCUCCAAACUCACUCUUUCUCACAUACAAGUGCCAUUGCAAUGAUCUGGCUUCUCUCUCCCUCCCCGCGAAAUAGUUUCGUAGAGCUGAAAGGCUGUCUGGAUUCCGGUGGGAACUAGUUCUGGACGGCGAAGCCCUGCCAGAUAGAUGACACCGUAUGUGUGCAACUCUGUAGAGAGAUCGUAGUUUCGGUCUUAGUUCGAGAGUGCCUCCGAAGGGCUGUCCGUGUGACCGUCCGAGUUUCAGAUGUCCUCCCGGAGGGCUGUCCGAGUGACCGUCCGAGUUUCGAAGGUCCUCCCGAAGGGCUGUCCGCGAC